Molecule: long non-coding RNA, 482 nt
Filed under: Suricata suricatta (meerkat)
Lineage: Eukaryota; Metazoa; Chordata; Mammalia; Carnivora; Herpestidae
Description: lncRNA (ENSSSUG00005004060.1)
Source: RNAcentral
UGGGAUGGGAGGUAAGGCCACACAGUUGGGGGCUUUUUCAUAUGAGAUCCUUUCAUUCUCACAGAGCCCCUAAGAUAGUGCUUUUCUCUACAGAAACACAAAGCAGGCUCAGAGAGGCUGAGAAACCCAACAAAAGUGACACAGCAGUAAGGCUCAGAACUGGGACUCAGACCUAAUCUGGCCAUCCCCACUGCCCCAGGCCCUCUCAGCAGGCACAACACAAGGCCCUGCAGGUGACCAGCUCUGAUUCUGCAGAGUGACAUCACAAGGCCGCUGGGCAGAAAGGUGGAACUGGCACUCCAGGCAGGUCAGAGGAGUGGGGCUGGCCCACCACUCUCUCCAUGCUGAAGUCUCCCAGGGACAGCACGCCUGCUUCACAAGCUUGUGGUUUCCAGGUGUCCACAGUGCCCUGUUCUGGUGUCCAUGCUGACCCCAUUGUUAAGAUGACCGGUCUGGGCCCUCCAAGGGGGAGGAAUGGUGCU